GGGGUUGUGGCUCAGAGGUAGAGUGCUCACUUAGCAUGUGUGAGGCACUGGGUUCAAAUCCUCAGCACCA
Molecule: transfer RNA, 70 nt
Filed under: Marmota marmota marmota (Alpine marmot)
Lineage: Eukaryota; Metazoa; Chordata; Mammalia; Rodentia; Sciuridae
Also listed under: 1 other name
Rfam family: tRNA
About the family: Transfer RNA (tRNA) molecules are approximately 80 nucleotides in length. Their secondary structure includes four short double-helical elements and three loops (D, anti-codon, and T loops). Further hydrogen bonds mediate the characteristic L-shaped molecular structure. tRNAs have two regions of fundamental functional importance: the anti-codon, which is responsible for specific mRNA codon recognition, and the 3' end, to which the tRNAs corresponding amino acid is attached (by aminoacyl-tRNA synthetases). tRNAs cope with the degeneracy of the genetic code in two manners: having more than one tRNA (with a specific anti-codon) for a particular amino acid; and 'wobble' base-pairing, i.e. permitting non-standard base-pairing at the 3rd anti-codon position.
Source: Rfam by way of RNAcentral